UCGAUGCCUGCGACUGUCUUCAUAGUUGAUAGUAUUUCAAUACUAUCACCUAUGAAGACAGUCGCAGGCAUCGA
Molecule: non-coding RNA, 74 nt
Organism: Paramuricea clavata
Lineage: Eukaryota; Metazoa; Cnidaria; Anthozoa; Malacalcyonacea; Plexauridae
Source: the annotation of a GenBank genome assembly